Non-coding RNA from Microcebus murinus (gray mouse lemur), 837 nucleotides. The record is from RefSeq and is a predicted model, not a curated record. NCBI's taxonomy places the organism in Eukaryota, Metazoa, Chordata, Mammalia, Primates, Cheirogaleidae.
CCCAGAGUGCUAGGAUUACAGGCGUGAGCCACCACCCUUGGCCUCUUUAUUUUAAAUAUAAAGUUACUCUAGUUUGUUUAUUUCUAACACCUUUCUUCCAACAGCUCAGAAAAUAGAAGUGACUAAUAGAGCCACAGGCCAUGAGUAUUUUCAGCAUUUAGAACAUCAGACCUCAAAGUCAAAUACUAAAGAAUCUCCUAACAGUUAAGUUUCCCAGGACACCUCUUAGUUCAUGAACCUUUUCUUCCUUGUCACAGGACCCAGCAAUCCUUUCUAAUCUCCUCUCCACUCAGAGACUGAUGCCACCCACUCUUUCCCUUGAGGAGUUCCAGUCAUUCCAUCAAUCACGCAUUUACCUGGCACUGAAGAAUGUGUUAAGAACUAGGGACUCUACUCGCAAGUGUUUUCUUUUUCCUCUUCCGGGGUCGCUGUCUGCAGGCACUCAAAAUGGUCCAACGUUUGACAUAUCGCUGUAGGCUUUCCUACAACACAGCCUCUAACAAAACUAGGCUGUCCUGAACCCCUGGUAAUAGAAUUGUUUGCCUUUAUACCAAGAAGGUUGGGAAAGCACCAAAAUCUGCAUGUGGUGUGUACCCAGGUCGACUUCGAGGGGUUCAUGCUGUGAGACCUAAAGUUCUUAUGAGGUUGUCUAAAACAAAAAAACAUGUCAGCAGGGCCUAUGGUGGUUCCAUGUGUGCUAAAUGUGUUCGUGACAGGAUCAAGUGUGCUUUCCUUAUCGAGGAGCAGAAAAUCGUUGUGAAAGUGUUGAAGGCACAAGCACAGAGCCAGAAAGCUAAAUAAGAAAAUGAACCUUUUUUGAGGAAUAAAAAUUAAAAG